ACCAUUUCUAUAUUGGUAUGCCAAUUCAUGUUAUCAAAAACUUGUAGAUGUAAAAAAAUUUGGUACAUAGAUGGAGUGGAUUACACUGCAACAAGUUGACACACAAGUAGUAGUAGCUCGAAGACUCAAAACCCCCACUUAAAAUGACUUGACACCUAAGUAUUCCAACAGCAUUCACUAUCACCCCGUUUUUGCAGUAAUACAUCUGUGGACGUUAAAGUAAGACUUGUCUUCAAAUUAUACAAGUACAGGCCCUACAGUAUUUUGAGUUCACAUUGUAUACUGAUAGACUACCUCCACCGAGAGGAUAUUUGGUCUUGUACUGUGCAAACACUUUGCCCUCUUCUCAUUGCACUUUGUU
This 361-nucleotide long non-coding RNA is filed under the name Aquilegia coerulea. Its description in RNAcentral is "long non-coding RNA (ACOE_LNC000391)". Lineage: Eukaryota; Viridiplantae; Streptophyta; Magnoliopsida; Ranunculales; Ranunculaceae. The record is from RNAcentral.